This 245-nucleotide unclassified non-coding RNA is filed under the name Hevea brasiliensis (rubber tree). The record is from RNAcentral. Lineage: Eukaryota; Viridiplantae; Streptophyta; Magnoliopsida; Malpighiales; Euphorbiaceae.
AACCCAUUUCUGGCAUUAGAUUUGCACUUCACCAUGGAUUUAGCGAAUUUGCUGAAUUUGAAUGUUUGUGGCUGUGAUUGCGUUGAUAGAAUAUCGUUGUUUUCUGGAUCUGAAUAGAAUUCGAGAUUCUUCUUCGGAGUUAAGGUUGUAGAUAGAUCGAAAUCUGUUAAAGUAACAUGACCAGAUUGUUGAAUAAGUACGUUUUCAGGUUUCAAAUCUCGAUAAGCAAUGCCUAAAGUGUGUAG